ACAGGAUAUAUCUUAACUAAAGUCUUUCGCUUACACCGAAAUCAUAUUUGUUCAAAUCAAA
Molecule: transfer RNA, 61 nt
Filed under: Mannophryne venezuelensis
Lineage: Eukaryota; Metazoa; Chordata; Amphibia; Anura; Aromobatidae
Description: tRNA-Val
Source: RNAcentral